Molecule: microRNA precursor, 63 nt
Filed under: Eisenia fetida (common brandling worm)
Lineage: Eukaryota; Metazoa; Annelida; Clitellata; Crassiclitellata; Lumbricidae
Description: Efe-Mir-1175-P2_pre stem-loop
Source: RNAcentral
AGUGGAGAGAGCUCUAUCUCAUGAAACCUAGCAGAGCGUAUGAGAUUCAACUCCUCCAACUUC